AACGAACUGAACAUCCAUGAGUCAUGUAUUAAAAUCAGGACUUUUAGACACAUUUACUUAUAUAAUUCUCACAAAAACCCCUUGAAGUAAGGAUUUCCAUCCUCGUUUUGUAGAUGGGAACACUGAAGAUCGGAAAGAUACGUAAUGUAUCUGUUGGCAAAUUACUAUUAUGGAUUGUUAAGGGCACAGUUGAGCUUCUGGAGGCAGAGACCAGGGUCUGCAAAUUGCUUCCCUGCAUAUUAGUUACAGAUUGGUCAAGGCAUGUGAACUUCUCCCAGCCUCAGUUUCUUCAUUUUUAAAAUAAUUGUCAUAUUACCAUAUAAAAGAUGCAUGUUAUAUAUAACAUCUUACAAUGUUGUAUAUUCUAUUUAAAAUAGUCACUGCUUGCCAACAGUGUUGUUCAACAGCAGUUAGCUAUUCCUGUCAUCACUGCAGUCAUUUCUUGUGUGCUUACUUACAGGUCUCUCUCUCCCCAGCACCUCCCUUAGUUUUGAGAAGAAUGCAAAGAAGAAAUUAAGUGUGAGCCUCUCUUUUCCCAUCGUUACCCUCCAUUGUUCUCUUGACACCCUGCUUUUGCAGACCGAGAGUUUGAGAUCCUCUCCCAGGAGCCAAGGAGAGGGGAACAGCCGGCUUCACAUCAUCUUUCUAUUCAGCAAGAUACAAAAAGCUGAAGCCAGAAUGAUAGAAAAGCAACAAAAAAAACACGGUCCUUACUCAUUUCCCUUCCCACUUCAGAGCAAAUAUGGUGCCUGGUGUUCGAAGGGAGAACUUGUGGGCAGAGCAGGAAGCAUAAGUAUGGUUGAAAGAUCAAAUAUUUGAUUCAGGCAUCAGGAGAAAGACUGUGAUGCUGGGAAACACAAGUGAUGUACUGUUGGAUUUAAUCUACUUGGAAAAAACCUAGGAAAACCAAAAUAUCGUCAACUAACACCUGAAAUGUGUCAGCACCAUCUGUCUCCAACAUUAAACAAAACCCAGGAGAUUCUGGGAGAAAGAAAAUAGGAAAUUUAAUGAUGAACUUAACCUGAGUAACUUGAUAAGUGUUACCUUUGUGGUUAGCCAUUCACCAGCAAGUCCCUAAAAUGAUCUGAA
This 1089-nucleotide long non-coding RNA is filed under the name Macaca mulatta (Rhesus monkey). Its description in RNAcentral is "lncRNA (ENSMMUG00000059734.1)". The record is from RNAcentral. Lineage: Eukaryota; Metazoa; Chordata; Mammalia; Primates; Cercopithecidae.